Molecule: non-coding RNA, 96 nt
Organism: Paramuricea clavata
Lineage: Eukaryota; Metazoa; Cnidaria; Anthozoa; Malacalcyonacea; Plexauridae
Source: the annotation of a GenBank genome assembly
UACCUCAAAAUUCCGCAACAGUCUGUUUCAUCAGUAAAGAAUCAUCAGGCGGUAUCUGAUGAUUCUUUACUGAUGAAACAGACUGUUGCGGAAUUU